UCUAAGGAAAUGAGAUCACCACACAAGAAGCAAUUUGAAGCUGGUGUUAUUUUAAGUUUCUAUUUUCCUUAAGAAAUUCUACUUUGAUUUUUUUUUUUUGCUUAGGCUUUGCUGAAAUGCUGCCCUUGUUCCUCAGAGGAGAUGUGGCAAUUCUUAGUUAAAAGUAACUUUUCAAGUCAUGCUCCUUAACCCGAAUGUCACAACAAAACAAGAUGACCUCUUUAUAGCUGAUUUCCCAUCCAUGGUGAUGUUGCACCAGGACUCUUUUUUCCAGCACCUUUUAUCAUAGCUGGAAUAGUUCAAACAUCUUCUUGUUUUGAAAGUUUGGUCAUGAUUCUUCUCUAAUUGCUAAUAAUAGAUGCUCUCUGACUAUCCUCUUUGUCAAGGGAUUUAAAAAUAGAUUAAAAAUUAUAUAGAUUUAAAAUGAAUUAAAACAGAUUUUAACAAUCAAACAGAUUUUAAAGAUUUAUUCUUUGGCAGCCGUGCUCUGAAGGAGAGGCUGUGAUGCUUCACCUGUGUGGCAGAGCCUGAGCCUGAGAGAAGCUAAUGAAGAGAGAGAAAAGGCAGAAGAACCUGUCCAAUGAUGUUUAUACUUAAACCUGGUUCACCUAUUUAUGAUAACCUCGUACUUGUAGAUGGAAAUUGCUGGAGAGGAGAACAGAAAUGAUGGAGGGGACUGGAAGUCAGUGCAGGUCAUGGAGAGCAUCAGCUCUGAGGGAAAAGAGGGAGAAGAGCUGAUUUUGGAGGUGCCCAAAUAUAAGAAAUUAGAAGGUGACAAGCCAUAAGAAAUUAGAAGGUGACAAGCCAUAAGAAAUUAGAAGGUGACGAGCCAUAAGAAGUAGAACUGGACUGGAGGUGCUGAGAUGAGCGUGGGAGGAGAAGCCCAGAGCUGUGUCCACAGGAUGAAAAGGCUGUUUGGAAUGGGUGUUCUACUGUGGAUGAGACAAAGACCUCAGCCCCGCUCAGCUCUGCUUUUUAGCAGCCUCCAUCAGGUCUUCUCUCAUGUGAAAGAUGAAUUGUCAGACUGGGGGACUUCAAGGAUCCCACGGCAGUUUUGCAAGAGGAUUGUGUCAUCUCUCCCUCCAAGGAUCCUCCCCUCCAUCCUGAAGCUCGUUCUGCAAGAUGAUUUAUUAACUAGGAGAAUAUAUUUUACCAUUUUAUGAUGAACACGAGUUAUAUGGACAUGGCAUAAUUUGCUGAAAGCCACUCUGCAGAGGUGACAUAACAAGAAAUGCCCAGCUCUGGACUCCAUCAGUUUCCUUGCUCAAGAACUCAGACUGAAACUUCCUGGUACUCCUCAGCCCACGACAACAAUCAGCCCCGUGCAAAGAGGGAAAGCACCCCUGAAAACCCACAAGGGCAUCCCUGCCUACCCAGCAAGGCUGAGACAAGGAGAGAACAUUUAUUUGUCUGCAAAGUCACCUUGACUCAGUGCUCAUCGGACAACACACAGGUGUCCAAGGUAUGACAGUGCUCCUA
Prinia subflava (tawny-flanked prinia) is the source of this 1479-nucleotide long non-coding RNA. RefSeq lists it as uncharacterized. Lineage: Eukaryota; Metazoa; Chordata; Aves; Passeriformes; Cisticolidae. The record is from RefSeq and is a predicted model, not a curated record. The transcript is spliced from 7 exons.